AAGCCCGCAAGGGUAAGUAGAGUGGCGCACGGGUGAGUAACACGUGGACAACCUGCCUUCGAGUGGGGAAUAACCUUCCGAAAGGAGGGCUAAUACCGCAUGACACCUCGGGACACAAGUUCUGGGGUUGAAAAGAGCAAUUUGCUCGAAGAGGGGUCCGCGCCUGAUUAGCUAGUUGGUGAGGUAACGGCUCACCAAGGCUUCGAUCAGUAGCCGUCCUGAGAGGGAGCACGGCCACACUGGAACUGAGACACGGUCCAGACUCCUACGGGAGGCAGCAGUGGGGAAUUUUUGGCAAUGGGCGAAAGCCUGACCAAGCAACGCCGCGUGGGUGAUGAAGUAUCUUGGU
RNAcentral lists this ribosomal RNA (349 nucleotides) under uncultured bacterium. Its description in RNAcentral is "bacterial SSU rRNA". It matches the Rfam family "Bacterial small subunit ribosomal RNA", at positions 73 to 422 of the family's 1533-position model. The record is from RNAcentral.